UUAGGGCUUUGAAGAUUGUCUGAUUCUAGACAGGCUCCUGGACAAGCAUGAUAACAACUUCGGAGCUGUCUUAGAGGAAUACUCCAGAACGAGAAACAAGGAUGCUGAGGCUAUCUGUGAUUUAUCCAUGUACAAUUAUUUAGAGAUGAGAUCACUGGUUAAUUCCUUGUCUUUCUUUCUGGAGAGAAAAAUAUUAAGUGUUUUGCACUGGCUGAUGCCUAAGACAUUUAUCCCCCUUCAUACCAUGGUAAGAUAUGUUUUUUAUCACACUUCUUAACAGUAGGUUGUAAAAUAUGUUAUUUUACUGUACCCAGUUUUCUUGUAUACUGCCCUGAUAUCCAGCCUAAUAAUAUACAUGAAAAAAUUACUCUAUUCUGAUUGGCUGAGAGCAGUGCAGUUCAAGUGUAACACCAGUGUAAAAAGUGUAACACCACUGCAAAUUACACAUCGUAAUUCUGAAUUAUGAUAGGAAAUCGUCAAAGCCAAUGAUAUUACGUAAAAUGAUGACGAAAAUUUUGUGCG
Orbicella faveolata is the source of this 522-nucleotide long non-coding RNA. Lineage: Eukaryota; Metazoa; Cnidaria; Anthozoa; Scleractinia; Merulinidae. The record is from RefSeq and is a predicted model, not a curated record.